This 498-nucleotide ribosomal RNA is filed under the name uncultured bacterium. RNAcentral's name for it is "partial 16S ribosomal RNA". It matches the Rfam family "Bacterial small subunit ribosomal RNA", at positions 28 to 523 of the family's 1533-position model. The record is from RNAcentral.
GAUGAACGCUGGCGGCGUGCCUAAUACAUGCAAGUCGAACGCUUCACUUCGGUGAAGAGUGGCGAACGGGUGAGUAAUACAUAAGUAACCUGGCAUCUACAGGGGGAUAACUGAUGGAAACGUCGGCUAAGACCGCAUAGGUGUAGAGAUCGCAUGAACUCUAUAUGAAAAGUGCUACGGGACUGGUAGAUGAUGGACUUAUGGCGCAUUAGCUGGUUGGUAGGGUAACGGCCUACUAAGGCGACGAUGCGUAGCCGACCUGAGAGGGUGACCGGCCAAACUGGGACUGAGACACGGGCCAGACGCCUACGGGAGGCAGCAGUAGGGAAUUUUCGGCAAUGGGGGAAACCCUGACCGAGCAACGCCGCGUGAAGGAAGAAGUAAUUCGUUAUGUAAACUUCUGUCAUAGAGGAAGAACGGUGGAUAUAGGGAAUGAUAUCCAAGUGACAGUACUCUAUAAGAAAGCCACGGCUAACUACGUGCCAGCCGCCGCAGUAA